This is a non-coding RNA of Prunus avium (sweet cherry), 1201 nucleotides long. The record is from RefSeq and is a predicted model, not a curated record. NCBI's taxonomy places the organism in Eukaryota, Viridiplantae, Streptophyta, Magnoliopsida, Rosales, Rosaceae.
GUUGCCCUGCAGAAAGUGAACAAAAGACUUCUCACACUAGGAACUUUUCAAGUUAUCUUUCUUUGAUGUGCUUUCAUUAUUUGGUUCAUUUCCAGGAUCAGUUCAGAGACUCAAAGGAAAAGGGUAUGCCGUAAAAACAGUAUAGCUCUUGGAAUGGGUGGUAGUCCGUUUAUGAAAAAGACCUCUGCGCCCAUGCUAGCUGAUGGCAAGAAUACCAGCAAGUAUGAGAUUAGAGCCGGUUACAGCCAAGCUGAAAGCUUGAGCAAUAUUAGUUAUAUAUACCUGAAAAUCCACCACCAUUAAAAGAAAAUCUAUCGGAGAGCCUUUUCCAAGCAAGUUGGGCAUGAUGUCUCAGUGCACUUCUCGCCGGAAUGACCGCGAAACUACUGGAAUAAUUUCUCUGGUAAAAACUGUUGGCGGUAUUGUACACUGAGAAUGGGGUAUUUCCUCUAGCAGGAAACGUAGUCCCUGUAGAAUCUAUGUUGGGGAAGACGGAGGCCAACUCGAACAAUUGUCCCAUACUUGUCCGCUUCAUAUUUCAAAAGGAAGAGCACCAACUAUAAACAAUUACGCCAAUUCCAGAGUAUCACCCAAAUUAUAGCGAUUGAAUCAUCAGAAAAUAAAAAAUCCGCCUAGGCGGGUCUAGGCGGUUUUUUUUUUCUUUUUCUUUCUGACUUUAAAGAAAACCCUCAGGCUGUCGCCUCCUUUACCCUACUCCAGCAGCCUCACCAUCCCCAGAACCUAGCAAUUUACUUUCACAUUCCCUCUCCUCCAUAACCACAAAGUGAGAGAGCCAAAUGGCUGUUCUUCAAGACCAGAAACAGAGGUCCUCUUGCCCACCAACAUCCAAGAGUAAUAGGGGAAGACCACCAAAGAACAAGGAAAAUCUGUUUAGGAAGAAUUCUUCAUCUCUCACUCAGUCACUGAUGACUAAAAGCAUUGUUAAUAAAAUCUGUUUAGGUUGUUUCUUUUAAAAUAUUUGAUAGGGUUUUGUGUUUUGAUUAGUUGAUUAGGAAUGAAAGUGCUAUUGCUUUAAUAUUUCAAUGUAAGUUUGUCUAAAAAACAAUUUUCAAACUUUUACACAAUGAACCUAUGGCCUAAGAAUUCUGAAUCCGCCACUGCUUAGACAUGUACCGUAGGCGCAAUACGAGUUGCACGCGUAUGUAAAAGCCUCUCUCUCUCUCUCUCUCUCUCUCUCUCU